GAGGGACUGUGGCUCAGUGGUAGAACAUAUGCUUGGGAUGCAGAAGGUUCCAGGUUCAAUCCCUGGCAUCAUCA
RNAcentral lists this transfer RNA (74 nucleotides) under Sphaerodactylus townsendi. Its description in RNAcentral is "tRNA-Pro". It matches the Rfam family "tRNA". From Rfam's summary of the family: Transfer RNA (tRNA) molecules are approximately 80 nucleotides in length. Their secondary structure includes four short double-helical elements and three loops (D, anti-codon, and T loops). The record is from RNAcentral. Lineage: Eukaryota; Metazoa; Chordata; Lepidosauria; Squamata; Sphaerodactylidae.